This 493-nucleotide unclassified non-coding RNA is filed under the name Stagnicola corvus. RNAcentral describes it as "sequence contains ITS2". The record is from RNAcentral. Lineage: Eukaryota; Metazoa; Mollusca; Gastropoda; Lymnaeidae.
UCCGUUUGCUCUCACGAAAGCCGGAGCCUUUCUCGGAUCGCCCACCACCUCUGCUCGUUUAGGUCGGUUGGGGGGACUGAAUCGGCACCGGUUGGACACGCCCUGGACCUUCGCGGUCUGCGCCGUCGCUGCACUACCCGUGCGGUGAUGGCAACGGCCCCGUGGUCUUAAGUACAAGCCGCGCCGUUGUCCGUUCAUCUCGUAACGUCUUCGACGCUGCCCUGCUCUCGGCGGCCUGUCCGUUUUCUCUACCGCCAGGCAGGACCCGGCUCGCUACUUGAUUAAUUUCUGGAGGCGGUCUCGGGCCUGCAGUCCCCACGGCACAUCGUCCCUCACCUCCGCUAGCUCGAGUGGUAGGCGGGAGACGGUGGAGAGAUAGGGUCGGAAGAGACGUUCGCUUGAUGCACGGCGCCCGGAUUAUUAUAUUUUUUUUUCACUCGAAAAAAAAAAUUAAAAUUCCGACCUCAGAUCGGACGAGAUUACCCCCUGAAUU